GGAUAGUUUUAGUACGUAGACGCCAGAGAUGGCGUAUUGGGCAUGCUACUGGGCUACAGUAGUAUCUUUGGAAGAUUUCCAUCUC
This is a non-coding RNA of Glossina morsitans morsitans, 85 nucleotides long. The record is from Rfam. Lineage: Eukaryota; Metazoa; Arthropoda; Insecta; Diptera; Glossinidae.